GAUCAUGCAAUUUACACCUCUCAUACCUUUUCUAACCCCCAACCCAACUUCUAACACUCCAAUUUCGUGAUAUGGACCUAUACUUAAAUGUGUCUAGAUGGAUUUUAACAAUUAUAUAGUGAUUCUAAAGUUGUUUAAACUUGGAUUUACUUCUAAAACACUCAAUCCUAUGACUUAGAGACUCUAAUUUGAUUUUACCAUUUCUAUUAAUUUUUAAACCAAUUUUAUGACCCAAAUAAGUCCCAACUGACUUGUCUAGACUACCUAAACAGACCCAAUGCACUGCACACU
Molecule: long non-coding RNA, 291 nt
Filed under: Vigna radiata
Lineage: Eukaryota; Viridiplantae; Streptophyta; Magnoliopsida; Fabales; Fabaceae
Description: long non-coding RNA (VRAD_LNC010259)
Source: RNAcentral